UCCGGUUUAACACCGGCAGUCUCGCUAAAGUGCCCGGCAUGACCCGAUGGCAACUAGCGACAAGGGUUUCGCUCGUUAAGGGACUUAACCCGACAUCUCACGACACGAGCUGACGACAGCCAUGCAGCACCUGUGCAUGUUCCACGGCAAGCCGCGUCACCAAUGUUUCCAAAAUGGCUAAUCCAUGCAUGUCAAACCCGGGUAAGGUUCUUCGCGUUGCUUCGAAUUAAGCCACAUCCUCCACCGCUUGUGUGAGCCCCCGUCAAUUCCUUUGAGUUUUAGCCUUGCGGCCGUACUUCCCAGGCGGCGCACUUAACGCUUUUGUUUCGGCUCUCAUACUGUCAGAAGUAUAAAAGCCUAGUGCGCAUCGUUUACGGCGUAGACUAC
RNAcentral lists this unclassified non-coding RNA (387 nucleotides) under uncultured Phycisphaerae bacterium. RNAcentral's name for it is "contains 16S-23S intergenic spacer region". The record is from RNAcentral. Lineage: Bacteria; Pseudomonadati; Planctomycetota; Phycisphaerae.